UGUAAUCUACCUCUAACUGGGGAAUAGCCCGGAGAAAUUCGGAUUAAUACCCCAUAAUAUUAUAAUGAGGCAUCUUAUUAUAAUUAAAGCUCCGGCGGUUAGAGAUGAGCAUGCGUGUCAUUAGCUAGUUGGUGAGGUAACAGCUCACCAAGGCAACGAUGACUAGGGGGUCUGAGAGGAUGAUCCCCCACACUGGUACUGAGACACGGACCAGACUCCUACGGGAGGCAGCAGUGAGGAAUAUUGGGCAAUGGGCGAAAGCCUGACCCAGCCAUGCCGCGUGAAGGAUGACUGCCCUAUGGGUUGUAAACUUCUUUUGUAAGGGAAGAAUGGUUCCUACGUGUAGGGAUUUGACGGUACCUUACGAAUAAGCAUCGGCUAACUCCGUGCCAGCAGCCGCGGUAAUACGGAGGAUGCAAGCGUUAUCCGGAUUUAUUGGGUUUAAAGGGUGCGUAGGCGGAAUAUUAAGUCAGUGGUGAAAUCCCGCAGCUCAACUGUGGAACUGCCAUUGAUACUGGUAUUCUUGAAUGUAGUUGAGGUGGGCGGAAUAUGUAAUGUAGCGGUGAAAUGCUUAGAUAUUACAUAGAACACCGAUUGCGAAGGCAGCUCACUAAACUAUGAUUGACGCUGAGGCACGAAAGCGUGGGGAGCGAACAGGAUUAGAUACCCUGGUAGUCCACGCUGUAAACUAUGAUCACUCGC
This 702-nucleotide ribosomal RNA is filed under the name uncultured Bacteroidota bacterium. RNAcentral's name for it is "bacterial SSU rRNA". It matches the Rfam family "Bacterial small subunit ribosomal RNA", at positions 120 to 820 of the family's 1533-position model. The record is from RNAcentral. Lineage: Bacteria; Pseudomonadati; Bacteroidota.